AGGGCGCACGGUGGAUGCCUUGGUACUAGGAGCCGAAGAAGGACGGAACUAACACCGAUAUGCUUUGGGGAGCUGUAAGUAAGCUAAGAUCCAAAGAUUUCCGAAUGGGGGAACCCAACACCUUUCAUAGGGUGUUACCAAUGAGUGAAUACAUAGCUCAUUAGGAGGUACACGCAGGGAACUGAAACAUCUCAUUACCUGCAGGAAGAGAAAGAAAAAUCGAUUCCCUGAGUAGCGGCGAGCGAAACGGGAGGAGCCCAAACCAACGAGCUUGCUUGUUGGGGUUGUAGGACUAGAACGUGAGAAGAAAUCAAGAUAGCAGAAGUGGUCUGGAAAGGCCCAUCAAAGAAGGUGACAAUCCUGUACGCGACAUUUUGAUGAACUCUACUAGCAUCCUGAGUACGGCGGGACACGAGGAAUCCCGUCGGAAUCCGCCAGGACCAUCUGGCAAGGCUAAAUACUACCUAGUGACCGAUAGUGAACCAGUACCGUGAGGGAAAGGUGAAAAGAACCCCGGGAGGGGAGUGAAAGAGUACCUGAAACCGUGUGCUUACAAGUAGUCAGAGCCCGUUAAUGGGUGAUGGCGUGCCUUUUGUAGAAUGAACCGGCGAGUUACGUUUACAUGCGAGGUUAAGAUGAAGAGUCGGAGCCGUAGCGAAAGCGAGUCUGAAUAGGGCGCAUGUAGUAUGUGGACGUAGACCCGAAACCAAGUGAUCUACCCAUGUCCAGGUUGAAGGUGCGGUAAAACGCACUGGAGGACCGAACCAGGGCACGUUGAAAAGUGCUUGGAUGACUUGUGGGUAGCGGAGAAAUUCCAAACGAACUUGGAGAUAGCUGGUUCUCUCCGAAAUAGCUUUAGGGCUAGCGUCGACAUUAAGAUUCUUGGAGGUAGAGCACUGUUUGGGUGAGGGGUCCAUCCCGGAUUACCAAUCUCAGAUAAACUCCGAAUGCCAAUGAAUUAUGGUCGGCAGUCAGACUGCGAGUGCUAAGAUCCGUAGUCGAAAGGGAAACAGCCCAGACCACCAGCUAAGGUCCCAAAAUAAUUGUUAAGUGGAAAAGGAUGUGGGGUUGCACAGACAACUAGGAUGUUAGCUUAGAAGCAGCUAUUCAUUCAAAGAGUGCGUAAUAGCUCACUAGUCGAGUGACCCUGCGCCGAAAAUGUACCGGGGCUAAAACAAUUUACCGAAGCUGUGGAUACCUUUAUAGGUAUGGUAGGAGAGCGUUCUAUGUGUGAAGAAGGUAUACCGUGAGGAGUGCUGGAACGCAUAGAAGUGAGAAUGCCGGUAUGAGUAGCGAAAGACAGGUGAGAAUCCUGUCCACCGUAAGACUAAGGUUUCCAGGGGAAGGCUCGUCCGCCCUGGGUUAGUCGGGACCUAAGGAGAGACCGAAAGGUGUAUCCGAUGGACAACAGGUUGAUAUUCCUGUACUAGAGUAUGUAGUGAUGGAGGGACGCAGUAGGCUAACUAAAGCAGACGAUUGGAAGAGUCUGUCUAAGCAGUGAGGUGUGAAUUGAGUUAAAUGCUUAGUUCUAUAACAUUGAGCUGUGAUGGGGAGCGAAGUUUAGUAGCGAAGUUAGUGACGUCACACUGCCAAGAAAAGCUUCUAGCGUUUAAACAUACUCUACCCGUACCGCAAACCGACACAGGUAGUCGAGGCGAGUAGCCUCAGGUGAGCGAGAGAACUCUCGUUAAGGAACUCGGCAAAAUGACCCCGUAACUUCGGGAGAAGGGGUGCUGGUAGCAAUACCAGCCGCAGUGAAUAGGCCCAGGCGACUGUUUAUCAAAAACACAGGUCUCUGCAAAAUCGAAAGAUGACGUAUAGGGGCUGACGCCUGCCCGGUGCUGGAAGGUUAAGAGGAGAGGUUAGCGCAAGCGAAGCUUUGAAUUGAAGCCCCAGUAAACGGCGGCCGUAACUAUAACGGUCCUAAGGUAGCGAAAUUCCUUGUCGGGUAAGUUCCGACCCGCACGAAAGGCGUAACGAUUUGGGCACUGUCUCAACGAUGGACUCGGUGAAAUCAUAGUACCUGUGAAGAUGCAGGUUACCCGCGACAGGACGGAAAGACCCCAUGGAGCUUUACUGUAGUUUGAUAUUGAGUGUUUGUGUCACAUGUACAGGAUAGGUAGGAGCUGAAGAAUCCGGGACGCCAGUUUCGGAGGAGGCAACGGUGGGAUACUACCCUUGUGACAUGACCACUCUAACCCGCACCCCUUACCGGGGUGGGAGACAGUGUCAGACGGGCAGUUUGACUGGGGCGGUCGCCUCCUAAAAUGUAACGGAGGCGCCCAAAGGUUCCCUCAGAAUGGUUGGAAAUCAUUCGUAGAGUGUAAAGGCAGAAGGGAGCUUGACUGCGAGACCUACAAGUCGAGCAGGGACGAAAGUCGGGCUUAGUGAUCCGGUGGUUCCGUAUGGAAGGGCCAUCGCUCAACGGAUAAAAGCUACCCUGGGGAUAACAGGCUUAUCUCCCCCAAGAGUUCACAUCGACGGGGAGGUUUGGCACCUCGAUGUCGGCUCAUCGCAUCCUGGGGCUGAAGUCGGUCCCAAGGGUUGGGCUGUUCGCCCAUUAAAGCGGUACGCGAGCUGGGUUCAGAACGUCGUGAGACAGUUCGGUCCCUAUCCGUCGCGGGCGUUGGAAAUUUGAGAGGAGCUGUCCUUAGUACGAGAGGACCGGGAUGGACACACCGCUGGUGUACCAGUUGUUCUGCCAAGAGCAUCGCUGGGUAGCUAUGUGUGGACGGGAUAAACGCUGAAAGCAUCUAAGCGUGAAGCCCCCCUCGAGAUGAGAUUUCCCAUCAUUUU
RNAcentral lists this ribosomal RNA (2796 nucleotides) under human metagenome. Its description in RNAcentral is "bacterial LSU rRNA". It matches the Rfam family "Bacterial large subunit ribosomal RNA". The record is from RNAcentral.